RNAcentral lists this ribosomal RNA (252 nucleotides) under uncultured bacterium. RNAcentral describes it as "partial 16S ribosomal RNA". It matches the Rfam family "Bacterial small subunit ribosomal RNA", at positions 524 to 776 of the family's 1533-position model. The record is from RNAcentral.
UACGGAGGAUCCGAGCGUUAUCCGGAUUUAUUGGGUUUAAAGGGUGCGCAGGCGGCACGGCAAGCCGGCGGUCAAAUCGCGGGGCUCAACCCCGCCCAGCCGUCGGAACUGCCGGGCUAGAGUGGGCGAGAAGUGCGCGGAAUGCGUGGUGUAGCGGUGAAAUGCAUAGAUAUCACGCAGAACUCCGAUUGCGACGGCAGCAUACCGGCGCCCGACUGACGCUGAGGCACGAAAGCGUGGGUAUCGAACAGG